GAUCUCGUGGCCUAGUGGUUAGAGCGUCCGCAGCUGAUGCGGAAUGUCUUGGAUUCGAUCCCCGGCCGAGUGAGUCA
Potamilus streckersoni is the source of this 77-nucleotide non-coding RNA. NCBI's taxonomy places the organism in Eukaryota, Metazoa, Mollusca, Bivalvia, Unionida, Unionidae. The record is from the annotation of a GenBank genome assembly.